This 406-nucleotide ribosomal RNA is filed under the name uncultured bacterium. RNAcentral's name for it is "partial 16S ribosomal RNA". It matches the Rfam family "Bacterial small subunit ribosomal RNA", at positions 30 to 526 of the family's 1533-position model. The record is from RNAcentral.
CUUGAACGCUGGCGGCAUGCCUAACACAUGCAAGUCGAACGAGUGGCGGACGGGUGAGUAAUGUGUGGGAAACUGCCUGAUGGAGGGGGAUAACUACUGGAAACGGUAGCUAAUACCGUCAACCAUCAGAGGUGGCAAGAUGGGAUUAGCUGGUUGGGGGGGUAACGGCUCACCAAGGCGACGAUCACUAGCUGGUCUGAGAGGAUGACCGGCCACACUGGAACUGAGACACGGUCCAGACUCCUACGGGAGGCAGCAGUGGGGAAUAUGGCGCAAUGGGCGAAAGCCUGAUGCAGCCAUGCCGCGUGUAUGAAGAAGGCCUUCGGGUUGUAAAGUACUUUCAGCGGGGAGGCGUUACCCGCAGUAGAAGCACCGGCUAACUCCGUGGCAGCAGCCGCGGUAAUUC